This 16-nucleotide ribosomal RNA is filed under the name Corvus brachyrhynchos (American crow). RNAcentral's name for it is "partial 16S ribosomal RNA". The record is from RNAcentral. Lineage: Eukaryota; Metazoa; Chordata; Aves; Passeriformes; Corvidae.
UCCUAGAAAAGGACCA